UGGGGUGGCAGGGUGAGAAAGGCAGAGAUGGCAGCAGUAAGAGGGAAGAAUAUCAUUAUUUCUUUUUCCAUAUUUACCUGUACUAUGUUUCUCAGAAGCUGAAGUGCUGUCAGUAUUCUGGUAGGCUUGAAAGAUCUGGCACAAGAGAAAGCUCAAUCUGUUUACCUGUGAGUGUUCUUCAAACAUGAGGGCAAGCAAAAGUCCCUUCUGCCUCAUUCUCUGCAGCCAUGGCCCAGCAUGUGUAGUCACAUGCAUUUUCUCAUUCUGUUUGACCUGUCAGCUGGACCUGAAACAGGCCAUCCCCAUUUUGCAUGAUUCAGAUGUGCACAAAUCCCAGUUACUAUGGUUUACUUAAUAACAUGAGUCUCCCCUGCAACACAAUUCAAAUUUCAGUUACCAGUGGAUAUUAACUGUGAGUAACUGCAUGAAAUUCAAACUUCACUGAUAGUUCUUCAAACCACAACCACUGUGUAAAUAAGAAAUGCACAUUGUGUUAUGCAGAAUAAUGCCCCCCACCCCAAAGUUCACAUCCUAAUUCCUAAAAUCUGUGAACUAUUAUAUUACAUGGCAAAAGGGACCUUGUUGAUGUGAUUAAGUUAGAGAUCUUGAGGUGGGGGAUUAUCCUGGAUUAUCUGAAUGGUUCCAUUGUAAUCACCAGGGUCUUUAUAAGAGGGAAGCAGAUGGUCAGAGUCAGGGAAGAUGUGACAACAGAAACAGAGAAAGAUUUGAAGAUGCUACACUGCUGGCUUUAAAGUUGGAAGAAGGGGCCAUGAGCCAAGGAAUGCAGGAACCCUCAAAAAAUUGGAAAAGGCCAAAAUCAACAGCCAAUUUGGAUACCAUCAAGACACCUGAAACUUUUUCAUAAGCCAGAUGCCGAGGAAGAGAUUCUGGGAGGAUCCCGAGGACCCCUCGGUUGCAGCCAUGUCGAGACUGACGCUGAGGAGGACCCCAACUGUCACAAGCAACACCUGUCGAACACAGCCACCCACCUGGGGACAGAUCAAGAAGCUGUCACAGCUGGUGGAAGAAAACCUGAGGAAAGCGGGACAACCACUCACAAUGAGUAAUUUAAUGGUAGCUAUGAUAGCGGUAUCACCAUUGCUGUGAGUAUUCCUUCAACAAGGGCUGACACAGAGAACAAUUAUACUUAUUGGGCAUAUUUAUCAAACUUGGCUGGCAAUAAUGCCUAGAUGUAAUCACUCUAUGAUGCAGUUGCACAUGCUUUCUGAUCUCAGUAUUUAUCAUAAUAAAUCUGCUCCUAUAAUUGAGGCAUACCACCCUCAAAAACCUAUUUGUAAACAAAAUGGAACCUGACCAGAAAAAAAUGCAAGAAUAUUUUAUUAAUGACUAAAGGUUUAGCAGAAACAAUUUAACAUAUGUAUCAUACUCAUCUGUAAGACUAUGCUUUUGGAAAACUCAGCCUUAAUUAAAAGUCAUAAUUUUUAAUUUCUUAUUUGUUUGAAAAAAUUUUCAUCAUUUUGAAUUUAUAUUUCCACAGUCCAAGAUUAUUUCUUCUGUUUCAGACUUUUCUUAUGUGAAAUAGAAGAGUUUUGUUUUGUUUUCCGUUUGGUUUAGCCUGAAAAAAGAUGUAAAAUUGCAAAUACCUCAAAACUACAUGCCCAAGUAAGGAUGUGUAUAAUUGACAGUCUUUCAAUGUUUGCCAGUCACACAUCUAAAGGGUUACUUACUAUUUCUGCUCUAUUAAGAAAAGAACUAUAUAUCUAGUUCAUUGAAUUUUCACAAAGAAUGAUAAUAGAUUUUUUUUCAUCUGUCUAUAUAAGAAGGGGCCCUAUUCUGGCAAAAGUCUGAAUUCAUGCCACUAAAAAAUGACAAAAGGGUAAAUGAAGUUUUAUUUUUGAUAAUAAUACCUGAAGGGAAUUUCAUUUUUCUUCAGUGAAUUUUAAAAAUCUAAAAAUCCUUUAAAACCCUCAACAGCCUGUAAUCCCAGCACUUUGGGAGGCUGAGACGGGUGGAUCAUGAGGUCAGGAGAUCAAGACCAUCCUGGCUAACAUGUGAAACCCUGUCUCUACUAAAAAAUGCAAAAAA
Molecule: long non-coding RNA, 2046 nt
Organism: Homo sapiens (human)
Lineage: Eukaryota; Metazoa; Chordata; Mammalia; Primates; Hominidae
Source: Ensembl